GACGAACGCUGGCGGCGUGCCUAAUACAUGCAAGUCGAACGCAGUGGGGACGGGUGAGUAACACGUGGGUAACCUCCCAUCAGAGGGGAUAACACUUGGAAACAGGUGCUAAACCGAUACUGAUGGAUGAACCCGCGGUGCAUUAGCUAGUUGGUGAGGUAACGGCUUACCAAGGCCACGAUGCAUAGCUGACCUGCGAGGGGGAUCGGCCACACUGGUACUGAGACACGGCCCAGACUCCUACGGGAGGGAGCAGUGGGGAAUCUUCGACAAUGGACGAAAGUCUGACCGAGCAACGCCGCGUGAGUGAAGAAGGUUUUCGGAGCGUAAAGCUCUGUUGUUAGAGAAGCGGUAUCUAACCAGAAAGCCACGGCUAACUACGUGCCAGCAGCCGCGGUAAUUC
Molecule: ribosomal RNA, 403 nt
Filed under: uncultured bacterium
Lineage: Bacteria
Description: partial 16S ribosomal RNA
Rfam family: Bacterial small subunit ribosomal RNA
Source: RNAcentral